CCUACGGGUGGCAGCAGUGAGGAAUAUUGGUCAAUGGACGCAAGUCUGAACCAGCCAUGCCGCGUGCAGGAUGACGGCUCUAUGAGUUGUAAACUGCUUUUGUACGAGGGUAAACCCCGAUACGUGUAUCGGGUUGAAAGUAUCGUACGAAUAAGGAUCGGCUAACUCCGUGCCAGCAGCCACGGUAAUACGGAGGAUCCGAGCGUUAUCGGGUUUUUUGGGUUUAAAGGGUGCGGAGGGGGGUUGAUAAGGUAGAGGGUAAAUGUCGGGGGUCAACCCCCGAACUGCCUCUAAGACUGUUGGACUAGAGAAGAGGUGCGGUAGGCGGAAUGUAUGGUGUAGCGGUGAAAUGCUUAGAGAUCAUACAGAACACCGAUUGCGAAGGCAGCUUACCGACCUAUAUCUGACGUUGAGGCACGAAAGCGUGGGUAGCAAACAGGAUUAGAUACCCGAGUAGUC
RNAcentral lists this ribosomal RNA (459 nucleotides) under uncultured bacterium. RNAcentral's name for it is "partial 16S ribosomal RNA". It matches the Rfam family "Bacterial small subunit ribosomal RNA", at positions 338 to 795 of the family's 1533-position model. The record is from RNAcentral.